AUGGGCAGUCACUCCAAUAUCUUUGUCAAGAAAACAGGAGAUGGAAUCACAAAGAGUCAAGCACAAAGGAAACGAAGGAACAACAAAAAGAAAGCAGAAUUCUCCAUUUCAUUUCAUCAGAGAAGAAAGUGCAAUCAAAAUAGAUGGGCAGCAAGGUGUCACAUUAGGCAGAGUGCCAAUCACUCCAAUAUUUUUGUAAAGAAAACAGAAGAUGGAAUCACAAAGAAUCAGGCACAACGGAAACAAAGAAACAACAAAAAGAAACCAGAAUUCAUCAUUUCAUUUCAUCAGAGAAGAAAGUAAAAUGAAAAUAUAUGGCAGCAAGGUGUUACAGUAGGCAGAGUACCAAUCACUCUAAUAUCUAUGUCAAGAAAACAGGAGGUGGAAUAACAAAGAGUCAGGCAUAAUGGAAAGGAAGGAACAACAACAACAACAACAACAACAACAACAACAACAACAACAAAACGAAUUCACCAUUUCAUUUCAUCAGAUAAGAAAGUAAGUCUACAAAGCCAAUUUAAUAAGAUAUUUCACUAAUUGGUCAAAAAAGCUUCUGAUGUGGUCUUAAAGAUUUUGGGAUCAAAUCUAUAUUCUCUUUUAAUUGCCUCUGUGUGACAUGGAAAAUAUUCAGCUUUUCAUGAAUUCAGAUUUCUUGUUUAUUAAAAGAGAAUAGCUUGGCUAGAAGGUUUCUAAUUCAGGGGGAUAAGUUUUUUUUAAGCACUGACUAUGAGUCAUGCAGGAAGUCAGUCAUUCAGCAUUUAUUAAGGACACUUAACCUAAAGGAGCUCAUAUUUAGGGGUGGUGGAGACAAUAUGCAAAUCAUUUUGUGCUGGGCAGCUAGUUGACAGGGUGAUAGAAUACUGGCUAGGCUUAGAAUCAGGAAGAUUCAUCUUUAUGGGUUGAAAUCUCCUUAUACACACUAUUUGUGUGAUCUUGGGUAAUUCACUUUAACUCCAUUUGCCUCAGUUCCUCCUGUUAAAUUAGCUUAAGAAGGAAAUGGCAAACCACUCUAAUAUUUCUGCUAUGAAACUCCAAAUGGAGAUACUUAGAGUCAGAUAUGAUUGAACAACAAUAAGAACAAGAUAUAUUCAGUGUAAAUGGCUGGUAUUUUCUGAGGGAAGAUACUAGCAGUGAGAAUAAUUAGGGAAGGCUUCUUAGAGAUGUUGGAAUUUGAUUUGUCUUGUAGAAAUAAAGACAGGGGAGCUAAUAGUUAGUCUAAGAAG
This 1223-nucleotide long non-coding RNA is filed under the name Monodelphis domestica (gray short-tailed opossum). Its description in RNAcentral is "lncRNA (ENSMODG00000030066.2)". Lineage: Eukaryota; Metazoa; Chordata; Mammalia; Didelphimorphia; Didelphidae. The record is from RNAcentral.